CGCUGGCGGCGUGCCUAACACAUGCAAGUCGAACGGGGAUUUGUUUCGGCAGAAUCCUAGUGGCGAACGGGUGAGUAACGCGUAGGCAACCUGCCCUCCGGCCGGGGGACAACACUCCGAAAGGGGUGCUAAUACCGGAUACGAAGUCUGUGCCGCAUGGUACGGAUUUGAAAGAUGGCCUCUGUUUACAAGCUAUCGCCGGGGGAUGGGCCUGCGUCCGAUUAGCUGGUUGGUGGGGUAACGGCCUACCAAGGCGACGAUCGGUAGCCGGUCUGAGAGGAUGAACGGCCACAUUGGGACUGAGACACGGCCCAGACUCCUACGGGAGGCAGCAGUGGGGAAUCUUCCGCAAUGGGCGCAAGCCUGACGGAGCAACGCCGCGUGAGUGAGGAAGUUCUUCGGAACGUAAAGCUCUGUUGUUCCUGACGAACCUCCCUUCUAUCAACAACGGAAGGGACUGACGGUAGGGAACGAGGAAGCCACGGCUAACUACGUGCCAGCCGCCGC
RNAcentral lists this ribosomal RNA (507 nucleotides) under uncultured bacterium. RNAcentral describes it as "bacterial SSU rRNA". It matches the Rfam family "Bacterial small subunit ribosomal RNA", at positions 34 to 518 of the family's 1533-position model. The record is from RNAcentral.